UCUCAUUAGUGCUGUUUACAAAGGUCAUUUAAACCUGACCAGUGUCAUUGAGUCCUGCAGAGAUUUGAGCGCUUAUACCCUGACAGCUGAUCUCUUCAUAAAACACAGCACCACAGGGAGCCAUUUAUGACCGACGCUAUAAACACCAAUAGAAUUUUGGUGAUUUAGCGCAUCGGUGGCCAUCAUCUGUCAUAUGGAGCAGAGCAAAGCAGUUGACGUUCCACAACAAGAUGGCAUCAGGAAUCGCAUAAUAAGUCCUUAGGAGAGAAAAACACAGCGCAAAUUUCAAACUACAGUUGGUCAAAUCAUUACAAAACAGGCCCUUAACAAAUCACCCAGGCACUUUCCACAUCUGCUGCAUGUCAGCAUCUGCCAGACGCGCUCACCCGUCCCGGACGCUCACAGCAAGCCUUCAUUACUCCUGCUGCUGAACAGUGCCAUGUAGCAGUAAUCUUCAAAAGAGUGAUGUUUAAGCAGUUUCCCAUUCUAUUGUUCAUCUGUACUCUGGAUAAGAAUAAGGGGACACAGACAAACAAAGAAAACACGCCCAUCCGUAAACAGAUCUCCACCUCAAGACGCAACUACCUGAAUGAUCAGACAUUUAGCAGACCGUCCCAGUGCUCUGAUGAGUUUAUGGGUUAG
RNAcentral lists this long non-coding RNA (642 nucleotides) under Danio rerio (zebrafish). Its description in RNAcentral is "lncRNA si:ch211-170i2.2 (ENSDARG00000092014.3)". Lineage: Eukaryota; Metazoa; Chordata; Actinopteri; Cypriniformes; Danionidae. The record is from RNAcentral.